CAGAUUUAUUGCUGUUCAUUCAACCGAGACAGAAGCGAUGCAUCCCAGGUUCCUUUGCGUCCCGCUCCUACUCGUGGCUUUGGGCCUCGCCCUUGGGCAAGACGAUGCAGGAGUGCAGCCGGCUGAAGGUGGGGCUGAAGGUGGAGCUGAAGGUGGAGCUGCAGUCGCUGAUAAGACAGAGGUUGCACCUGAGAGCCCACCAGUAGAAGAGAAAGUAGAAGUGGCACCUACAUCUGGUGGAGCAGAUGGGGCUGUGCCGGCAAAGCCUGCCCAAAGAGGUAGACACAGAGGUAGACUCGGCCACAGAGUUAGACUCGGCCACAGACUUAAACUCGGCCACAGAGGAAAAGGACGUGGUGGAGGAAAACUUAGAGGCUGAAAACACGGCAGAAAGGGGAAACCGUUGUAGGUAAAGAAGAUCUUGAUGGCUUCAGGUCGACAAGUGACUCUCCUUGGUGCUUUUUAUUACUGUACUAUAACCCACCCCUUCCCCCCUGAAAUUUAUUUCAUGUACAAGAAAAGUUACUAUACCAAUAAACAUUAGUACUCUGGGA
This is a long non-coding RNA of Xenopus tropicalis (tropical clawed frog), 554 nucleotides long. RefSeq lists it as uncharacterized. Lineage: Eukaryota; Metazoa; Chordata; Amphibia; Anura; Pipidae. The transcript is spliced from 3 exons. The record is from RefSeq and is a predicted model, not a curated record.